AAGACUAUAGACCUGCGGAGUACCUGCGGAGGGAUCAUUCACAAUAAGUGUUUUAUGGCACUUUAAUUCCAUAUCCACCUUGUGUGCAACGUAGUUCGUUUUUCGAACAAAACAUCAACAUUUUAAUUAUCAACAGAUCGUCUGAAGUAUUAUAUGAAUAAAUCAAUUCAAAAUACAACUUUCAACAAUGGAUCUCU
Molecule: unclassified non-coding RNA, 197 nt
Filed under: soil metagenome
Description: partial contains 5.8S ribosomal RNA, internal transcribed spacer 2, and large subunit ribosomal RNA
Source: RNAcentral